Molecule: small nuclear RNA, 104 nt
Filed under: Solanum tuberosum (potato)
Lineage: Eukaryota; Viridiplantae; Streptophyta; Magnoliopsida; Solanales; Solanaceae
Source: RNAcentral
GUCCCUUGGGGGAGAUUCGAUAAAAUUGGAUUGAUACAGAGAAGAUUAGCAUAGCCCCUGCGAAAGGAUGACACGUACAAAUUGUAGUGUAUGAGAAACUUCAU